This 316-nucleotide long non-coding RNA is filed under the name Capsella rubella. RNAcentral describes it as "long non-coding RNA (CRUB_LNC002419)". The record is from RNAcentral. Lineage: Eukaryota; Viridiplantae; Streptophyta; Magnoliopsida; Brassicales; Brassicaceae.
AAGGGCAUGCACAUCGGUUUGGUCGCCCCCCCAUACUUUUUUUUAAUUUUUUUUUUUCUUUUCCAAAUUUUUUGAAUUAAAAAAAAAAAAAAUGUAACCAAUCGCGGGCCGCCACGUGUCAGUGGGGCCCGCGAUUUCUGAAGAAAAGAAAACGGGACCGUCCCGUUUUUGUUGUCGACCCACCCUUUUUUUUUUUCUUUUUGAUUUAAUUUUUUUUUAAAAAACAGAAGGACGAAGGGGGAUACGCUAAUGCCCUUGGUCUAAGGUUAUGUUUUUAACUAAAUUAAGAUUCUAGCUUAAUUAUAAAGAUAUAUUU